UGUGAUAAAUUAGUCGGGGAGCUAGAUAACUAGCUGCUGAUGAGUUAUGGUAUAAACUUAUUAGGCGAACAGGUCUAAUUAGAGAUAGAAAUUUCAUAUUAAUUUAAACAAAGAGGGGUUUAAAAGUAACUAUUCUUGUUAAGUGUUAAAACUAAUUUAAUUUUCUGUGAAAAUUCUAUUAAAUAAUCAGUAUUUUACUAACUAUACUUAGAAGUAAUAUGUUAUAAUAAGUAGUUAAUUAUUUUAUUAAAUUCUCGUUUUAAUUCGAACUGUUUAUUAAAAACAUUUCUAUAAAAAUAUAUUUAUAGUAGGACCUGCUCAGUGUAGGAUAAAUAGCCGCAGUAUCUUGACUGUGCUAAGGUAGCAUAAUUAAUUGUCUCUUAAAUAGGGAAUUGUUUGAAUGGUUGUUUUGAGUUAAUAAAUAUUAAUAAAAUUAUUUGAAAUUAGUUUACAAGUAAAGAACCUUGUUAUAUUAUAAAAGACGGAAAGACCCCGAGAGCUUGAUUAAAUUUUAUUUGGGGCAAAGUCCUUAUUUCAAAGGAAGUUUGAACCCUAGGUUGGGUUUAUUGAUAAAGUUACCUCGGGGAUAACAGGGUUAGAAAUAAGGAGAGUUCAUAUCGAUUUACUUAGUUGCUACCUCGAUG
RNAcentral lists this ribosomal RNA (644 nucleotides) under Euryhaliotrema cribbi. RNAcentral describes it as "partial 16S ribosomal RNA". The stretch from base 450 to 644 matches the Rfam family "Bacterial large subunit ribosomal RNA", at positions 2048 to 2531 of the family's 2925-position model. The record is from RNAcentral. Lineage: Eukaryota; Metazoa; Platyhelminthes; Monogenea; Dactylogyridea; Ancyrocephalidae.